Molecule: microRNA precursor, 58 nt
Filed under: Homo sapiens (human)
Lineage: Eukaryota; Metazoa; Chordata; Mammalia; Primates; Hominidae
Description: Hsa-Mir-506-P1b_pre stem-loop
Source: RNAcentral
UACUCAGGAGAGUGGCAAUCACAUGUAAUUAGGUGUGAUUGAAACCUCUAAGAGUGGA